GACGAACGCUGGCGGCGUGCUUAACACAUGCAAGUCGAACGCUGAAGCUCAGCUUUUGUUGGGUGGAUGAGUGGCGAACGGGUGAGUAACACGUGAGUAACCUGCCUCCUUCUUUGGGAUAACGCCCGGAAACGGGUGCUAAUACUGGAUAUUCACUGGUCUUCGCAUGGGGGUUGGUGGAAAGGGUUUUUCUGGCGGGGGAUGGGCUCGCGGCCUAUCAGCUUGUUGGUGGGGUGAUGGCCUACCAAGGCUUUGACGGGUAGCCGGCCUGAGAGGGUGACCGGUCACAUUGGGACUGAGAUACGGCCCAGACUCCUACGGGAGGCAGCAGUGGGGAAUAUUGCACAAUGGGCGCAAGCCUGAUGCAGCGACGCCGCGUGAGGGAUGGAGGCCUUCGGGUUGUGAACCUCUUUCGCUCAUGGUCAAGCCGCAACAAUGGUUGUGGUGAGGGUAGUGGGUAAAGAAGCGCCGGCUAACUACGUG
RNAcentral lists this ribosomal RNA (483 nucleotides) under uncultured bacterium. RNAcentral describes it as "partial 16S ribosomal RNA". It matches the Rfam family "Bacterial small subunit ribosomal RNA", at positions 28 to 507 of the family's 1533-position model. The record is from RNAcentral.